AUCUCCUGCCUCCGCUUCCUCCAGCCGGGCGGGCACCUCCGUUUCUUCCCCGAAGCGCCCGUCUCGUAUCUCUACCCAAGCGCCCCUCUUCUCUCGAUCUAUCCCGAGCUGCCAAGAAUCAAAUAGCCCCCCUCCUCCUCUAUGUCCAACAAGAGUCCCGCGCCAAAUCGAAUCCCCUCGUCUCGAUCCAUAGCAGUUCCAGGAGGUUCGAUCCUCAUGAAGAAGGGGGCGGUUGGAGAAGAAGAGGGGCACGACCCUGCUGCCGCCUAGGCCGGCGGGCUUGCGCCCCGGCCGACGGUUCGUCACUGCCCAGCCGUGAUAUCGCCGCCUCUGGAUGGGGAGUAGGGCGAGGCUUCGCCGCCGGCGUUGACGGCCCUAGCGCCACCGCCGAUGUGAACGCCGUCGCUGUGUCGCCGCCUCUGAGCCUGCGCCGGUGAGCCAUUUGCUGUUGUCGCCGUGUUGAACGAGCUAGCUAUAAGGGGGCUCAGGAGACCAUCAGUCCAACGACCAUCACAUGCAGCUCAAUCGGAAGUCGUCCGUGAAGACAGGUUCAAUCAGAGAGCUUUGCGAAGCCACGAGAACCAGAAGACGCAGUUGUCAGAUGUUUAGCCAGUGUGUGCGUAUGUGUUGUAAUCGAAAAACUUGUACUUUAUGAAUUCAAAUGAAUAAAUAAAUAUCAGUGUUUUCAUUUACAUGUUUA
Long non-coding RNA from Phragmites australis (common reed), 700 nucleotides. RefSeq lists it as uncharacterized. The record is from RefSeq and is a predicted model, not a curated record. Lineage: Eukaryota; Viridiplantae; Streptophyta; Magnoliopsida; Poales; Poaceae. The transcript is spliced from 2 exons.